GGGCCCCAACCCAGACCUUCUGAAUCUCGAGGGCACAACCCAAGGAUCUUUAACAAGCGUUUCAGGUGACUUUUCCACAUAUUGAAAUUGGAACUCCGCUGCAGUCCCAAGAGACUUCUUAUCUGCAUUUCUAACAAGCCACAGGUAUUGCUGAUGAGGUUGGAAGGCAGACCAGCUUUUAAAUAGCACUUCUGUAAAACAGCCUCUUUCCUGACUGGACGUUGAGGUGAACAUCUCAGAGCUAUGAGGGAUGCAUGCUAAGUUUUUCUCCUCAUGAGAGAGCAUGCAUUUCAUGUAAAGACUUCACAUAUCCUUAGGUCCUGAAGAUUUUUCUUUCUUUCUUCUUUGAAUUGAAAGGGCAGCACCCAUGGCAUAUGGAGGUCCCCAGGCUAGGGGUUGAAUCAGAGCUGUAGCUGUCAGCCUGUGCCAUAGCUCACAGCAACACUGGAUCCUUAACCUACUGAGCAAGGCCAGAAUUGAACCAACGUCCUCGUGGAUAUUAGUCAGUUAUAGACCAACACAGCCACGUACCACAAACCCUGGGGCUGAAAACGGAAGCUGAUUGCUGCACAAUUCUAAAGGCUGGAAGACUGAAAUCAAGGAUCCUGCUAUGAGUAUUUCAGAUAAGCACAAUUCCUAGUCCUUGCAGCCUUCCUCUUUAGCCUACCACUGGUGGAAUGCCUUCGAGGCCAUAUUGCAAAAGGUUUUAUGCAACAUGCUAAGGAGUCUGGAUUUUAUUUUGAGGUCAGUGGUGAACAUUUUAUGAUUUGUAAGCAUAAGAGUGACGUGAGCAGAUUUGCAUUUGGGGGAAACAUCUCCAGUUGUGUGACAGAGAAGAACAAACCUGACUCCAUACUGGAUUUAUUCCUUUAGCUCUAACUCUUGUGCUGUGUUAUGCUAGCUGUGAACCUUUGUAAGAGAAUUUUGCCCAGAGCCUGAAAUAUACACCGUAGUCUAUUCUUAAGGAUCUGACCUUUAAAGGUAUAGCACUCCCAUUCAUACAGGGAUAAAAAGUUGUAGACCAGAGAGUUACAUCUGUCUUGUUGGAGGUUAACAAUCACAUUGUGCCUAGACCUACAUGGAUAGCUGUUAAGAACAAAGGAUUCCUGCACCAAGAAGUUUACAACAACCAGCCACUGGCCCCUCCCCUUUUAGUUUAAAAGAAGCCUGACUUCUAACUCACUGUAAAAUGCUUCUUUGAAACACUAGUCCAUCUUCUUCAUCUGCUGGCUUUCCCAAUAAAGUUACCGUUUCUUGCCCCAACAAUGUAUCUUCCAUUUAUUGGCCUGUCCUGCCGGGAUAAGUAUAAGCCUGGACUUGGUAACAGUUGCAGUGUAGAAAUGAAUUGGAAGAUGCUAAGAGUAGUCAGGGAAAUCAGGGGAAGUUUGCAAUGGUGAGACAAUGAAUAUCUAUGGGUAGCUGAUCAAAGGAGACAGGGGAGCAGAUUUAAGAAUCAGUAGGGAGUUCCCCUUGUGGCACAUCAGAAACAAAUCCAACUAGUAUCCAUGAGGAUGUGGGUUCAAUCCCUGGCCUUGCUCAGUAGGUUAAGGAUCCAGCAUUGCCUUGAGCUAUGGUAUAGGUCUCAGGAAUGGUUUGGAUUCCAUGUUGCUGUGACUGCGGCCCAGGCUGGCAGCU
RNAcentral lists this long non-coding RNA (1635 nucleotides) under Sus scrofa (pig). RNAcentral describes it as "lncRNA (ENSSSCG00065046614.1)". The record is from RNAcentral. Lineage: Eukaryota; Metazoa; Chordata; Mammalia; Artiodactyla; Suidae.